UCGGACGUGGUGUAAGGUUACACGGCCUUUUCACUUGGGGGGUGCACAUCAAAUAUCUCAUCUGAGGCAGUUCCGGGUUCGACUCCCGGCGUCCGAG
Molecule: non-coding RNA, 97 nt
Organism: Mycena polygramma
Lineage: Eukaryota; Fungi; Basidiomycota; Agaricomycetes; Agaricales; Mycenaceae
Source: the annotation of a GenBank genome assembly